This is an RNA transcript of Paramormyrops kingsleyae, 1954 nucleotides long. It is a transcript of the gene named CDP-L-ribitol pyrophosphorylase A, with no coding region annotated. The record is from RefSeq and is a predicted model, not a curated record. NCBI's taxonomy places the organism in Eukaryota, Metazoa, Chordata, Actinopteri, Osteoglossiformes, Mormyridae.
UUAAACACUGCCUUUAUGCAGUGCUCAAACGGGGUAUACUAAGAACCAGGCUAGCAGCUUGUCAGUGCUCGUUACUGUACAGCAGCGUUGUUGUCGGUCCGCUCUACCUCCAUAGCACGUUGUCUGCAGGACAUGGGAUAGGACCAACAUUUACAGUCUUUUUAAAGUUAUAAUUACUACAUCCCCGGACAGCACAGCUCCAAUCUGUCCAGAACUGAAAUACGUAAUUCACAAUGGACACCAGCUGUGAGAGUAGCGGCAGGCCUACUCAUCCAGCGGGUUUCUUUGCAGACGAAUCUGACUUGAGUGAACGAUUCCCCGGACACGACAGCAUCGAUUUCCCGGUCGCGGUGGUUCUACCAGCAGGUGGAUCUGGAGAAAGGAUGGGGUUGGCGACCCCCAAACAGUUCUGCACUGUCUUCAACAGACCUUUGAUAAGCUACACAAUUCAAGCGUUUGAGAGAAUAUCCUGGAUUGAAAACAUCGUGGUUGUUGUAGCAAAAGAAAGCCUUCAUCUUAUGAUGGACAUCAUUCACAAGUUCUGUCACAAGAAGGUAAAGGUGCUUCUUGGUGGAUCAUCUAGACACCGGUCUAUUUUUAAUGGACUCCAAGCCUUUGGAGAGAUGCCAGAUGGAAAGUCACUGAGGAAGCCAAAAGUGGUCAUUAUCCAUGAUGCAGUCAGGCCUUUUGUUGAGGAAGAUUUCCUUCUUAGGAUAACUAUUGCUGCUAAGGAACAAGGGGCGUCUGGAGCUAUACGGCCUCUUGUUUCCACGGUAAUAGCUACGACGUCAGAAGGCUACAUAGACCACUCUCUGGAAAGGGCUAAAUACAGAGCAAGCGAGAUGCCACAAGGAUUUGUAUAUGACAUCAUCUACCAGGCUUAUCAGCAGUGCAGUGAGUCCGACUUUGAGUUUGGGACUGAGUGCCUGCACCUGGCUCUGCAGUACUGUGGCACCAAUGCAAAGCUCAUCGAAGGUCCCCCUGCUCUGUGGAAGGUGACUUACAAGAAAGAUCUUUUUGCUGCUGAAUCUGUAAUUAAAGACUUCCUGUCCCAGGCCUGUGUUAUCACGACUGUCUGUGCAGAGUCAGCAGAGUUGGCUCACAGGUUUCAGAAGAGCCUUGGAGCCAGGAGCAUGCAGGUGGAUGUAAUAUCGGGCUCAUUCGGGAACAACCAGCCGUUGGUUUCAAAGACCUGGAAUUUCAUCCAUAUCACUGCGAAUAUCGCGUGCUUGGCUGAGAUCAGCAGGACAGUCAAGACGCUCCACGAGGCGGGCCAAGCCCUCCUUUAUCCCGCUGUCCUGAUCUUGGUGCAUUUCAGUGUCCUGCCGCAUUCCUCCCUGACUGAAAGAAUGGGACAGUUGGGUGCCAUCAGACAUCUGGCAAUGGAAGCAAAACACAGGAAUAUUUUACUUUACGCCAUCCUGCUUAAUCACAAUGAGUGGCUGAAUUCACAUGACAUGCUGCUUUGGGAUGGACAAACAAGAUAAGCAUGAGGGAGAAAUGAGGUGAAAUGAACGUGGCUGGAAGGAUAGGAAGGACUGAGAAGGUUCACUGCCGUCACCUGUGAUGCUGCUGUGUGAGGAACGGCCACAUUUACGUGAAUGCGGAGCAGUGGGAGGAGACCGUGGAGAGCGCGUCCGAGAUCACGACGGCCCUCGUCAAGGAUAGGAACCCCGCCCUGGCAGGACAGCUCCUGGUGGCCUGAGGAGCGGAGACCUUCCAGACGAGGCCUUCAUGAACGCCGCUGUUUCGCCAUUCUGCUCGGCAAACCUUGAAAUAAGCAUGAUUGAGAUCUGUCGUCGUUGCACUGCCUCACCUGCACAUCAGUUAGGAGCGUUUGAAAGAUCCCGGCAGUUUACGUUGCUGUGUUUUAGCUUUAAUGUAAAUGCUACUUUAGGGGACAUGUUAUUACAAUUUUAAUAUGAAAUUUGUAUCAUUAAAUGGGUGCACUUCA